CUGGGCUUGACAUGCCCCGGAUCNCCUCAGAGAUGGGGUUUCCCUUGUGGUCGGUGCACAGGUGGUGCAUGGCUGUCGUCAGCUCGUGUCGUGAGAUGUUGGGUUAAGUCCCGCAACGAGCGCAACCCUUGUUCCAUGUUGCCAGCGGGUAAUGNCGGGGACUCGUGGGAGACUGCCGGGGUCAACUCGGAGGAAGGUGGGGAUGACGUCAAGUCAUCAUGCCCCUUAUGUCCAGGGCUUCACACAUGCUACAAUGGCUGGUACAGAGGGGUUGCGAUACCGUGAGGUGGAGCGAAUCCCUUAAAGCCAGUCUCAGUUCGGAUCGCAGUCUGCAACUCGACCUGCGUGAAGUCGGAGUCGCUAGUAAUCGCAGUCAGAUGNGCGA
This 385-nucleotide ribosomal RNA is filed under the name uncultured bacterium. RNAcentral describes it as "bacterial SSU rRNA". It matches the Rfam family "Bacterial small subunit ribosomal RNA", at positions 975 to 1362 of the family's 1533-position model. The record is from RNAcentral.